Molecule: ribosomal RNA, 372 nt
Filed under: uncultured organism
Description: partial 16S ribosomal RNA
Rfam family: Bacterial small subunit ribosomal RNA
Source: RNAcentral
AGAGGGUGCGAGCGUUAAUCGGAAUUACUGGGCGUAAAGCGCACGUAGGUGGGCAAGUAAGUUGUUGGUGAAAAGCUUGGGCUUAACCUGGGUCUGCCCAGCAAAACUGCUAGCCUAGAGUGUAUUAGAGGGAAGUGGAAUUUCCGGUGUAGCAGUGAAAUGCGUAGAUAUCGGAAGGAACACCAGUGGCGAAGGCGACUUCCUGGAAUACGACUGACACUGAGGUGCGAAAGCGUGGGGAGCAAACAGGGAUUAGAUACCCUGGUAGUCCACGCCGUAAACGAUGAAAACUAGCUGUUCGGUUGCGAUGCCAACUUAGUAGCGAAGCUAACGCGUUAAGUUUUCCGCCUGGGGAGUACGGCCGCAAGGUUA